UACGUAGGUGGCGAGCGUUGUCCGGAUUUACUGGGCGUAAAGAGCGCGCAGGUGGCCGCGCAAGUCGAGUGUGAAAUCCCCGAGCUUAACUUGGGAAUUGCGCUCGAAACUACGUGGCUCGAGUGUGGCAGAGGAAGGUGGAAUUCCACGUGUAGCGGUGAAAUGCGUAGAGAUGUGGAGGAACACCGAUGGCGAAGGCAGCCUUCUGGGCCAACACUGACGCUCAUGCACGAAAGCGUGGGGAGCAAACAGG
RNAcentral lists this ribosomal RNA (253 nucleotides) under uncultured bacterium. Its description in RNAcentral is "partial 16S ribosomal RNA". It matches the Rfam family "Bacterial small subunit ribosomal RNA", at positions 524 to 776 of the family's 1533-position model. The record is from RNAcentral.